Molecule: ribosomal RNA, 413 nt
Filed under: uncultured microorganism
Description: bacterial SSU rRNA
Rfam family: Archaeal small subunit ribosomal RNA
Source: RNAcentral
GUGCAGCAGUCGAGAAACUUUACAAUGUGCGAAAGCACGAUAAGGGAACUCUGAGUGCCUCCUAAGGAGGCUGUUCAGGUGUCUAAAAAGCACCUGGAGUAAGGGCUGGGUAAGACCGGUGCCAGCCGCCGCGGUAACACCGGCAGCCCAGGUGGUAGCCACUUUUAUUGGGUCUAAAGCGUCCGUAGCCGGUUGAGUAAGUUCCUUGGGAAAUUUGGCUGCUCAACAGUCAAGCUUCCAGGGAAUACUGCUCGGAACUUGGGGACUGGGAGAGGUCAGAGGUACUCCAGGGGUAGGGGUGAAAUCCAUUAAUCCCUGGGGACCACCGGUAGCGAAGGCGUCUGACCAGACCAGGUCCGACGGUGAGGGACGAAGGCUAGGGUCGCGAACCGGAUUAGGAUACCCCUGUAGUC